CUGCCAGGGAUAACCUGGAGGAAGGUGGGGAUGACGUCAAAUCAUCAUGCCCCUUAUGCUUAGGGCUACACACGUGCUACAAUGGGUAGUACAGAGGGGUGCCAAGCCGUAAGGCGGAGCUAAUCCCUUAAAGCUACUCUCAGUUCGGAUUGUAGGCUGAAACUCGCCUACAUGAAGCUGGAGUUACUAGUAAUCGCAGAUCAGA
This 205-nucleotide ribosomal RNA is filed under the name Clostridioides difficile. RNAcentral describes it as "partial 16S ribosomal RNA". It matches the Rfam family "Bacterial small subunit ribosomal RNA", at positions 1149 to 1353 of the family's 1533-position model. Lineage: Bacteria; Bacillati; Bacillota; Clostridia; Peptostreptococcales; Peptostreptococcaceae. The record is from RNAcentral.